AUGAUGUACUAGGGGAGUCUUUUGACUGAGAUAUUCUACGGAAUGGACCCUUUGAACCUGUGAGUUGAGACUCGCGUAGGGAAGUCGUCUGAUGAGAAA
RNAcentral lists this non-coding RNA (99 nucleotides) under Melissococcus plutonius. Its description in RNAcentral is "TPP sequence". It matches the Rfam family "TPP riboswitch aptamer (THI element)". Rfam says of the family: Vitamin B(1) in its active form thiamin pyrophosphate (TPP) is an essential coenzyme that is synthesised by coupling of pyrimidine and thiazole moieties in bacteria. Lineage: Bacteria; Bacillati; Bacillota; Bacilli; Lactobacillales; Enterococcaceae. RNAcentral also lists the same sequence under 1 other name. The record is from RNAcentral.